This 292-nucleotide ribosomal RNA is filed under the name uncultured microorganism. RNAcentral describes it as "partial 16S ribosomal RNA". It matches the Rfam family "Bacterial small subunit ribosomal RNA", at positions 505 to 796 of the family's 1533-position model. The record is from RNAcentral.
GUGCCAGCAGCCGCGGUAAUACAGAGGGUGCGAGCGUUAUUCGGAUUUACUGGGCGUAAAGCGUGCGUAGGCGGCUGAUUAAGUCGGAUGUGAAAUCCCUGAGCUUAACUUAGGAAUUGCAUUCGAUACUGGUCAGCUAGAGUAUGGGAGAGGAUGGUAGAAUUCCAGGUGUAGCGGUGAAAUGCGUAGAGAUCUGGAGGAAUACCGAUGGCGAAGGCAGCCAUCUGGCCUAAUACUGACGCUGAGGUACGAAAGCAUGGGGAGCAAACAGGAUUAGAUACCCUGGUAGUCC